Molecule: ribosomal RNA, 497 nt
Filed under: uncultured bacterium
Lineage: Bacteria
Description: partial 16S ribosomal RNA
Rfam family: Bacterial small subunit ribosomal RNA
Source: RNAcentral
GAUGAACGCUGGCGGCGCGCCUAAUACAUGCAAGUCGAGCGAACGGACGAGAAGCUUGCUUCUCUGAUGUUAGCGGCGGACGGGUGAGUAACACGUGGAUAACCUACCUAUAAGACUGGGAUAACUUCGGGAAACCGGAGCUAAUACCGGAUAAUAUUUUGAACCGCAUGGUUCAAAAGUGAAAGACGGUCUUGCUGUCACUUAUAGAUGGAUCCGCGCUGCAUUAGCUAGUUGGUAAGGUAACGGCUUACCAAGGCAACGAUGCAUAGCCGACCUGAGAGGGUGAUCGGCCACACUGGAACUGAGACACGGUCCAGACUCCUACGGGAGGCAGCAGUAGGGAAUCUUCCGCAAUGGGCGAAAGCCUGACGGAGCAACGCCGCGUGAGUGAUGAAGGUCCUCGGAUCGUAAAACUCUGUUAUUAGGGAAGAACAUAUGUGUAAGUAACUGUGCACAUCUUGACGGUACCUAAUCAGAAAGCCACGGCUAACUACGUG